This is a long non-coding RNA of Acanthopagrus latus (yellowfin seabream), 852 nucleotides long. RefSeq lists it as uncharacterized. The transcript has 3 exons. The record is from RefSeq and is a predicted model, not a curated record. NCBI's taxonomy places the organism in Eukaryota, Metazoa, Chordata, Actinopteri, Spariformes, Sparidae.
UUUUCUUUUGCUCCUUUUCGCUCCUGUGUUCUUGUGCUCUUUUGAUACAUCCCACCCCGGUCUUGCAUCAGCCUCAUCAGCCCUGCCUUGUCUCCUUCCCUGCUCUUUUGUUUCCUCCACUCAUUACCUUCACCUGUGUUUCUCCGCCUCAAUCCACCUGAACCUCAUUACCCCAUUAGUUAGCCAUUAGCUCGGUCUUUGUUGAGUUGUAAGUCGCGUUUUUGCUCCUUUGCUUGGUGUUACUGUUCUGAGUGGUGUGAAGUGCUUAUGCAAACACUGACUUGCCACCUGGCAAUAAGUGUCUGAGCAUGCAUGUUUACUUCAAUACAUACUUUUACAAGAUGUAAAAAUUGUGCAGAGUUUGGUUUGUAGUUAGCAUAUAUCGUCACAUUACAUCUGACAAGUUGUUACAGAAACCUGGGAUGUGUGUUUAAUGGUUGUGUGUGUGUGUGUGUGGUGCAAAAAUCAAGUGAGAGCGAAACAUAGCCACAGGUCCCGUUGACGGCGAUGUUAGCCGGACCGCUGCCCAGGUUAUAACUAGAGACAACAUGGGAAGACACGCAGCGAGAUACCUGAAGAUUAGUGCACCAUCCUGAAGCCCCAUAGACAGGAAGUCACUGUUGGGUCUCAUUGGACUGUCUCCUCGCCACAGCAACAGGCCGUCCUUGGCUGUGCUCUUGAAACGCAUGAAGAGACUGGUCCUGGACCCGGACACCCUGAGGACAGCAACACGUUUUCACAUGUAUUACAAGUGCGACUGAAACAAGGACUAAACAACACGUCUAAAGGAGGAGUUGCAACCAAACAUAUCAUGUGAUGAAGCCAAAAUAUACUUUUCUAGCACCGACCUUU